CAGAUUAUAGCAUAUAUUUAAUGUAUUUUAUUUACACUAGAAAGAAAUUUUUUUAA
This 56-nucleotide transfer RNA is filed under the name Erpobdella octoculata. Its description in RNAcentral is "tRNA-Val". Lineage: Eukaryota; Metazoa; Annelida; Clitellata; Hirudinida; Erpobdellidae. The record is from RNAcentral.